Molecule: RNA transcript, 2124 nt
Organism: Canis lupus familiaris (dog)
Lineage: Eukaryota; Metazoa; Chordata; Mammalia; Carnivora; Canidae
Gene: SLC35D4
Gene name: transmembrane protein 241
Exons: 15
Source: RefSeq, a predicted model, not a curated record
CGUCCUGGCUGCGCAGGCGGCGGCCCGGCUCCGGACGCAGUGUGGGUGCUCCCCGCGGGGUCCCCGGGAAGGGGCGCGGGUUGACCCAUGUGCGUGAGGAGGUGCCUGGUGGGCCUCACCUUUUGUACCUGCUACCUGGCUUCUUACCUCACGAACAAGUAUGUCCUGUCUGUCUUGAAAUUUACCUACCCUACAUUGUUCCAAGGGUGGCAGACACUAAUUGGUGGACUUCUGCUUCACGUGUCAUGGAAGCUGGGCUGGGCCGAGAUCAACAGCACUUCAAGAUCUGAUGUUUCAACGUGGCUUCCUGCUUCGGUGCUGUUUGUGGGUAUAAUCUAUGCUGGUUCCAGAGCAUUAUCCAAACUGGCCAUUCCUGUGUUUCUCACUUUGCAUAAUGUAGCUGAAGUUAUCAUCUGUGGGCACCAGAAGUGUUUUCGGAAAGAGAAAACUUCUCCUGAAAAGAUCUGUAGCACCCUCUUCCUUCUGGCUGCCGCAGGAUGCCUUCCCUUCAAUGACCCCCAGCAGGUGCGGGCAACCCCUUACGCAGGAUGUCCUGUGCCAGUAACACCCACUGCUUCAUUUUCAGGGGCUUAUAAGAUAGUGCAGAAGUCCCGGAAACCCAAUGCCUUAAGCGACAUUGAGCAGCAGUACUUAAACUAUAUGUUCAGCGUGGUGCUCCUGGCAGUCGCGUCUCAUCCCACAGGUGAUCUCUUCAGUGUCCUGGACUUUCCAUUCCUGUAUUUCUACAGAUUCCAUGGCAGCUGCUGUGCCAGUGGAUUGUUAGGAUUCUUUCUCAUGCUCAGCACAGUGAAGCUGAAAAACCUUGUGGCCCCAGGGCAGUAUGCAGCCUGGAUUUUCUUUGCUAAGGUCAUCACAGCUGGCUUGUCAGUAUUGCUGUUUGAUAUGAUCCUGACCAAUGCAAUGGUGGGAUGCCUCCUGCUCGGUGGACUUGGAGAGGCCUUGCUGGUUUUCUCGGAGCAGAAGAGCUCCUGAAGGCAGGAAGAGUAGACUCCCAGGCUGCCAGCUGGAGUGAGCAGCCCCUGAGCCUUGGAACUCCCUGUCGCAUGUGUCAGGAGGAAGAAAGCAGGGACACUGAGGCCCCCACUUCUCAGGGCAUCAAGGAGAGCUCUCUCCGGGGGUCUCCGGGCUGCUGCAGAGAAUGCACUGGGUUGUGUCUUCCUGCUUCAAGAGGCUCACUCGAGCCCUGCUGACCACGCCAUGUAAACCCAGAUGCAGGGUAUGUGUAUGGGGAGGUCCCUCCUGGGGAUGGCUCUGCUCACUUGAUUGACACACAGGCCUCCGUAUUCAACACCGGCCGCCAAAAACUGCUUUGACCACCUGGUGGUGGGUUCAAGGUAUUGAAUACCUGAUUGUCCCGCCGGGUGUCGGUUGUGGUCAUGUCGAGAUGUAGGAGGUAGUGAAGCUGCAGCCACUGCUCCCCAGGCAGGAAGCCAGCCUUCGGUGUUGGACGUCCGCGUCAUGGAUGGAGAACCAUCUUUAGCAUCUGGGAACUCAGCUCUGGGAAGAGUAAAGUUAGCUCAGUCAGGGGCCAUUCUUUCUGCACAUUCUCUCCAAUUUAUUGAAAAAAUAAACAGAAAAUGAAACAAAUGGGAAUGGAUUAGUAGAUUUGGAACUUGAGUACCUUCAGUCCAUUUCCUGGUCUUUUCCUGGUCUCUGUGUGUCAUUUAAGGUAAAGAUGUUCAGAGUGACCUCUAUGCAGAUGGAGUUUCAGUUUGCUUUUUGUUCUUCAUCAGAGGUGUUAAACUUUAUAGAGGCUGAGGAUCAAAUAGAAAAAUGGGUUUAGAAUUGCCCUUGUUCUUCUGCUCCCACAAAACCCUCUUUGUAAAACUCAGUUCUUCAUCUGAGUGGCAUCUCACCAAAUGAGUGGCAUCUGACCAAAUGUCAUCUUAAGCCUGUCUUUCCAGGUGUCGUCCAUGCAAACGGAGAUUCCUAAGUCUGGAAAGAAUCAUGCACAGUUAAUGGGCCCAUCUCCUGUUUCCAGGAGAUCUGUUCUUCUUUUUUUUUUUUUUCUUUAAGAUUUUUUUUUAAUUUUUAUUUUAUUAUUAUUUUUUAUUUAUUUGAGAGAAAGCGUGAAAGCCAGAGCACAAGCAGUGGGAAGCGGUG